This 24018-nucleotide long non-coding RNA is filed under the name Vitis vinifera (wine grape). Its description in RNAcentral is "long non-coding RNA (VVIN_LNC005723)". Lineage: Eukaryota; Viridiplantae; Streptophyta; Magnoliopsida; Vitales; Vitaceae. The record is from RNAcentral.
UAGAGUGGGCCAUUGCAGAGCUCAUUCGCCACCCUGAAAUGAUGGCCCAAGCCCAACAAGAGCUGGACGCAGUGGUGGGCCGAAGCAGGCUUGUAACUGAUUUGGACCUGCCCCAACUCACCUAUGUCCAAGCCAUAAUCAAGGAAACCUUCCGCCUGCACCCAUCCACGCCCCUCUCCCUCCCUCGGAUGGCGGCGGAGAGCUGUGAGAUCAACGGCUACCACAUCCCCAAAAACGCCACUCUUCUAGUGAACGUGUGGGCCAUAGCGCGGGACCCAGAGGUGUGGGAGGAGCCACUAGAAUUCAGGCCCAACAGGUUCCUCCCAGGAGGGGAAAGACCAAAUGCGGACGUGAGAGGGAAUGAUUUUGAAGUGAUUCCAUUCGGGGCUGGCCGGAGAAUAUGCGCGGGGAUGAGCUUGGGACUGAGGAUGGUGCACCUGUUAACCGCGACGCUUGUUCAUGCGUUCAACUGGGAGUUGCCGGAAGGCCAGGUGGCGGAGAAGCUGAACAUGGAUGAGGCAUAUGGGCUGACCCUACAACGAGCCGCCCCACUCAUGGUGCACCCACGGCCAAGGCUGUCACCCCAAGUUUUCGGGAAGUAAAUGAGGUUGUUUGCCCAUGAUUAAAAUAGAAGACUUGGUGAUGGAUUUGGCUGAAUAAUUAUGAUGUUCGAGAGCGAGUUUAGUAGUUUUGUGAUGGGUUUUCCCUCAACCACCUGCAUGUUAAUACUGUAAACGAUGAUUCUCAAGGGGUAUCUAAUAAUGCAAUAUGUUGGUUUAAAAUUUAAAAUAUUUACUUCACAAUAUCGAGCGUAGGAGAAGAAACUAGAAAGUCAUAUGAUGAAUAAUGUCCCCAAAACUCAAACAGAGAUCAUCACAAUCUAAAGAGUCGUGCAAGGCGGCGAGUGUACCAACUACCAAUAAAAGCACGAAAGCUGAACAAGGAGUAGCUUCAUCUGUCAUCUGACCAACCAGCCUCCUCACAAAAUACCAUAUUCCAAGUCAAAGGUAGUAUAUAUGAUUUAUUGGACGAGAAGUUGAGGCUCCAAACAUCUUUAAUACAGCACCUUUCAAACAAGAUACUUGAAAAUGUACAAAAUCACCUCAUCUCGAAACCAGGAUUAUAAAAGAAGACGACCUCCCGGACCUAUCAGAUGACCUGAUCGUACAAAAUCACCUCAUCCCGAAACCAAGACUAUAAAAGAAGACGACAUCCCGUACCUAUAAUAUGACCUAAUUGACCGACAUGUGUCUAAAAAGACGAGUCCAAUUACCCUUAUCCCCUUUAUCCUUAUAUGCACAAAAGUCAAUAAAGCCUACCGUAAAAAGUGUGCUGAAACAACUCCUUCAUAAAGAAAGUAACUUUAAAAGAGAAGUCUCUUCCUCCUUAAGGGCUCUCUCUCUCUCUCUCCAUCUUAAAGAAGAGAAAAUGUAUCUUUGUAUCCAAAAUGAUUGAAUAAAAUAUCUAAUAUGUUUCUUGAAGAAUUUUAGCAUAUUGAAGAAGUAUCAUAACUCCUAAUAGAUUUAAUUAUCACUAAAAUUAUUGAAAUAAAACCUCUAGAUGUGUUGUGAUCAUGAAUGCUUAAAUACAGUAAUUUUUAUUUAUUUUUAAAAUAAAUAAUAAAUUAAUUAAUUUAAUCUUAUAUAUUCUCUAGAUCAUGUGGUAUCUUUUAAUUUUUUAAUAUUAAUUUUUUUACAAAUUAAUUAUCAAAUUUAUAAAAACCCCAUGAAUAAUUGACUAAAUCGAUUCUUCCCUAACUUUCAAUAUCUUUCAUAAAUAGGUAAUUUUUUAAAAUAUUAAAGAGUAGCGUGGAAACUAAUUAUUAAUCUAAUUACGAUAUUAAAUAAAUAAAAAUUAGAUAUUUUUGAAAUUCAUGUACUAUAUAGUUAUUUUUUCAUAAAUAAAUUCUUAUUUGUAAUUAAUAAUUUACAUUAAUAAAAAUUUAUAACAUUACUUAUAUCAUCGUAAUAAAUUUAAAAAAUGUGGACUUUGUUGAGGCCUCGCGUCCGUGGUAAUCCAUGUAGUUGCCAAAUGGAUGGACGCACGAUCUCAACCAAUAUAGAUUUCUGGUUUAGUCGUUCCUGCAAAAGGCGUCUGGACAGGGUGUCUGGAUACACCCUCCGAUGGUAUUGUCAGCCAUGGUCCAAGAGAUAAAUCAGUUGGCCUUUUACUAGGUAUAUCAAAACUUACCUUCCUCUUUGUGCGAAGGUCCAUAUAUAUCGUCUCAGAAGCUCUAUCUCCCUCUUUAAUGAUAGAGAGAUAUUUUGGCUUGUCAUGAUGUCUCUAGGUGGUGACAGGGUCAUCAUCACUCGUAGGGCGGCUGACAAAGAUCGUGGGAGGCGCCGCAGCUGUCAGAGAUCGUAGGAAGUGACUUGCCAUCAUUCCUGUCCUUUCACUCUGCAGGUGGCGGAACGUGGGCCGUGAAAGACUGUCGGAAUGACGUAGUAAGACUUGCUUACUUUAGUCAACGAUCCGGACAAACAUAUCCGGAUAGGAUAUGUCAGUCGUUCGGAUGUGAUAUGACGAUCGUCCGGAUGUGAUGUUUGCGAGUGUCAUGUGCUUCUCCCUGAGGAAGUCCGGAUAUGAGAAGCGCGUCACGUGUCUCCUUUGGGGGAAAUCCGGAUGGAGCUAAUCCGGAUAGAAAUGUGUGCCACUUGUCAUCAGGGGGAGGGGUCCCUACAGACUUGUCGUUCAUUUCUUUCUCUCUCAAUAUAUUAUUAAAUACAUAAAUUAAUAAUAUUUAUUAAAAUGAUAUUUGCAAGUUGGGGGUGGGAUGAGAACUAUUAAAUACAUAAAUUAAUAAUAUUUAUUAAAAUGAUAUUUGCAAGUAGGGGAUGGGAUGAGAACUCGUGUUGGGAUUUUUGAUCCUAAACGUCUAAUUGAAGGGAUUUUGAAAAAAAAUAUUUAUUAAAGUAUAUCAAUUUUAAAACCAUUUUCAAAUCUACUAUAUUUUUUAUAAUAUCAAUUAAAAAUUAUCUUUUUAUAAAACACCAACUUUAAAUCAAAUAUGAAAAUUAUUUUGUGAAAAAUUAAUUUUAAAAUUCAACUAAGUUUUCUCUUCAGAAAACAACUUUUACUUUAAGUUUUUGAAAGUACUAUACAUUUGGAAGUAGUUUCAAAAGUGUGAUAUUUUAAUAAAUAUUUUUUAAAAUUGCAAUAUUUUUUUCAAAAUCUUGACACUUAAGAUAGAGUGGGCAAGCAUGGGAAAAAAAUUUACAUACACUCAAAUUUAUGUCUUAGACUAGGAACUGAAAAAUUGUGGGGCAUAUGGAUAAUACAAAAACAAUUAUCUUACUUAGAGUUACUUAUUAUUACUUAUUAUUACUUAUGCAUUAAUUAAAAGGAAAGUGUUAAGGUAUCCAAAUGCUACAUAUAGAACUUCAAAUUCGGACUAAAUUGAAUAUAUAUAUAUAUAAUGAUAUUUAAGUAAUGAAAAUUCAAACAACUAGGAUUAUGGUAUAAGAAUAGGAAUAAAUGAGAUUAUGAUACAAAUAAUAACAUUUGAAAAUGUAUACCUAAGAUCAUUUUAUUGAGUUUUUUCAUACAUUUAUUUGAGCUUAGGAUUGCAGAUGGUGCAUGUUGGGAAGUGUCACAAAUUCCUAAUUAGUAAAGAUUGAGAGAUAUUCAAUGGAACGAGAUGACUCGUGGUUCAAGGUGUAAAUAUAAAGAGUGAAAAUAUAUUUUGAGAACCUAAUAAUUAUAUUUGGUUUUGUCCUCUAUAAUGUUCUCUGUGAUAUAAUGAAAAGAUUUUCUCUCGUCCGUGAAUAUAGGUAUGAUUGAUCAAAUCACGUUAAAACCUCAUUGUAGCCUACUCUCUACGGUGAAUGGUUUGUUUUUGUUUUUUGUUUUUAUUUAUUUAUUUAUUAUUUUGUUCUUCUGACCACCCGGAAUCAUUAAAACCUCGUUGUAGCGCCCCUGCCUCCUGUGAAAGGGUUUGUUUUUGUUUCUAUUUUUUUUUUUUUUUUUUUUGUUAUUCUGAUCACCUCGGAAUUAAGCUGAUGGGGCGACCAAAUACGAAAGGGGAGAGAGAGAGGGAGUUUUGGGCAAACAUGAUUCCGAAAUUCACGGAAUCAUUAUUCUUAUUUUAAAGUCUUGGGCGACGGUGAAUAACUUUUUAAAAUUUCCUAAAAUUUUAAAGUCUCAAAUUUAUUUAUUUAUUUUAAAAAUACCAUUCUCAAAAUAAUUUUCUAAAAUUUGAUUUUAAAAAUUUAGUUUUCAAAACUUUAAUUCUCGAAAUUCACUCUUCUAAAACUCCAUUUUUUAAAAUUUAAUCAUUUAAAAUUCAAUUCUUGAAAUAAUUUUCUAGAAUUCUAAUUUUAAAUUUAAUUUUCCAAGAUUCAAAUUUUUAAAAUUUAAUUUUCCGAAAUUUCCACAAUCCCGAAUUUAAUUUUUUAUUUUUUAUUUUUUUAUGUCACAUUCAAAUAAAUUUUCGAAACUCCAAUUCCUUUUUAUUCAUUUACUUAUUGAUUUUUAAAAUUCCAUCUUUUAAAUAACUCUUCAAAAUUCUGUUUUUAAAAUUUAAUUCCAAUUUCCAAAAUUCCAAUUUUCGUAUCAAUUUAUUUAAUCAUUAUCACUUUAUUCAUUCAUUUAUUUGUUUAUUUUUUUAAAAUUCAAUUUUUAAAUAACUCUUCAAAAUUUCAUUUUUUAAAAUUUAAUUCCAAUUUCCGAAAUUCCAAUUUUCGUAUCAAUUUAUUUAAUCAUUAUCACUUUAUUCGUUUAUUCAUUUGUUUAUCUUUAAAAUUCAAUCUUUAACUCUUCAAAAUUUCGAUUUCUGAAUUUAAUUCAAAUUUCCAAAAUUCUAGUUUUCUUAUCGAUUUAUUUAAUCACUAUCAUUUUAUUCAUUUAUUUAUUUGUCUAUUUUUAUCAAAAUUCAGAUUUCCAAAUUAAGUUUCCAAUUUCCAAAAUUCCAUUUUUUUCAUUUACUUAAUCAUCAUUAUUUUCAUUAUUAUCAUUAUUCUAUUUAUUUAUUUCAAAAAUUCCUUCUUCAAAUGAUUCCAAUCUUAUGACUUUCGAAUUUAAUUUCUAAUCUAAAAAAUUUCAAUAUUUAUGUACGUUUUUCCCAAAACCCCAAUUUCCGAACUUAAUUUUCCAAAUUCCAAAAUUCUAAUUUCCUUCAAAUUUACUCUCCAAAAUUCUGAUCAUUAAAUUUAAUUCCCAAGACUCUAACUCCCAAAUAAAUUUCAAAAGUCCAGUUUUCACUCGAACGGUUUUGAUUCCACUCUAGUUUUCAAAUAAUCUUCUUUUUCUUUUGAUUUUAUAUAAGCGUGAAUGCAAUUUUCAUAAUUCCAAAAUAAUGGAAUUUGUGAUAUUAAUUCAUGCAAGAUUAAUCGGGCUUUGGUAGGGGCCCACAUAUGAGUUUUCUCUUCUGAUUGUAAAUUGUUAUGCUUGAUGAGUAUUGUUUGAUCUUUGUCUUGCUCUUUGAUAUGCAUGUGAUGAUUUUAUAUCUGAGCUAACCUUGUUUCCAUGAUAAUGCACUAUUACCUGCUGUCAAGAUACGCUCCCACUCCCGCUUUGCUUACUCUUAUGCGCGAUUCGUUUUAUUAUUUGAUCAUUUCAUUAAUAUCCAUUGACUUCCUUAUCAAUUGCCACACUUCCUUCACCUUAUUUAGUAGAGAUCCGAAUUUAGGGACUUAGAGGGGUGCUGCGGUCCUUAUCAUACCUUCCCGAUAAGUAACCUGACCCCCGAGCCUAAUCCGGUUUUUCACAGACCACCUUUUUCGAAAUAAUGAGUCACACUUAGGGUUUUAUUUCUUAUUUUAUUUACCCUUUAAAAAUAAAACAAAAAUAAGUAGUGACUCCAAGUCCUUUUUUAAUCAAUAAAUCAUUUUUUAAAAAUAAAAAUUGAACUCGCCAUCGAGUGGAAGCGCAUGAGCCGAAAUGCGGGGUCCACACUUACGUAAUCUAACAUUAUUUAUAUUAAAGCUUUUGUUAACGCAACAAACUAGUCUUCAAAUUGAUGAAUGGGGUUUUUUUUUUUUUUUUUUCNNNNNNNNNNNNNNNNNNNNNNNNNNNNNNNNNNNNNNNNNNNNNNNNNNNNNNNNNNNNNNNNNNNNNNNNNNNNNNNNNNNNNNNNNNNNNNNNNNNNNNNNNGGGGUUUUUUUUUUUUUUUUUUCUCAUUCAUACUGUGGACCCCGCAUUUCGGCUCAUGCGUUUCCCACUCGAUGGCAAGCUCGAUUUUUAUUUGAAAUUUUGAUUUUUAUUUGAUAAAGAAAAAUGACUUGGAGUCGCCACUUAUUUUUCUUUUAUUUUUAAAAAGGUAAACAAAAUAAGAAAGAAAAACCCUAAGUGUGACUCCUUAUUUUGGAAAAGGUGAUCUACGAAAUAUCGGAUUGGGUUCGGGGGUCAGGUUACUUAUCGGGAAGGUACGGUAUAAACCGUAGCACCCCUCUAAGUCCCUAGAGUCGGGUCUUUACUAAUACAAUGAAACUGACGUGGCAAUCAACGAGAAAGUCAAUGGAUACACACCUAAAUUAUACACAAUAUGGGAAUCAAAACACGCAAUAGAGAUUGACUAGAAUGAGAGUGGAUGCGUACCUCGACCACAAGCCACAAUGCGCUAUCAAGAAACGGGAUUAGUGCACAAUUAAGGAACACAAAAAAUAGCUCAUGCAUAUCGGAGUGCAAAACGAAGCUCAAGCAAAAUACAUUAAGAGCCCGUUUGGCAGUGAUUUUUAAAAGUGUUUCUACCCUUAAAAACACUUUUAAGUGUUUUUGGGAUGAAAAUAAAGUGUUUGGCAAAUUUUAAAAAACACUUUUGAAAAUCUGGAAAAACACUUGAAGUGAUUUUUAGAGAAUCACUUGAUAGGUGUUUUUUUAAAAAAAACACUUCAAUUUUUUUGAAAUAUUCCAAAAAUGCCCCCCAGUGAUAAAUCAAUUAGAAAAAUCUUUUUUUUUUUUCCAGAAAUUAAUAGGUGGUCAUAUAUUGUUUUACUUUUAAAAUUAUCUUUUAUUCAAUGUUCUUUUUUUUUUUUUAUUGAUUUAGAUGUUUUUUGUAAAUAUUUUUUAAAAUUUUAGUAUAGUGAUAAAAAAAUUAUUAUUUUUAAUUAGAAAAGUCUUUUUUUUUUUUUAGAAAUUAAUAGGUAAUCAUAUAUUGUUUUAAUUUUAAAAUUAUCUUUUAUUCAAUGUUAUUUUUUUAGUGAUUUAGAUGUUUUUUCAUUAAUAAAAAGUUUUUUUUGUUUAUCAUACCAUUUUUUUUUAAUUAAAAUUGUAUGUCCUUUUUGGUAAUUUAUUAAUAUUAAAAGUGUUUUUAUAUUUAUACAAUAUAUUAUCAAAAACACUUUAGAAUCAUUUUUUCUGAUUAUCAUAAAAGUGUUUUUCACAGAAACACUAUAACAGAAAACACUUCAAAUAAAAACACUUCCACUAGAAUCACUACCAAACGGGCUCUAAGUACGACAAUUGACAAUAAAAAAAGGAUCACACAUAGGGCCCCCACCAAAGCCCAAUUUAUUACUCAUGAACUAGUCUCACAAAUUCCGUGUUUUAGAAUUAUGAAGAAUUUAUUAUUGUUUAUGUAGAAUCAAGAAGAUCAGAAGAUUAUUUAAGAACCGGAAUAGAAUUAAAACUAUUCAAGUGAAAACUGGAUUUUUGGAAUUUACUUGAAAAUUGGAGUAUUGGGAAUUGAAUUUAAAAUAUUAGAGCUUCGGUAAUUAAAAUGAAAUUUGCCAAAGAAGAUGAGAAAUGAACUUUAGGAAAUUGAUUUGCGAGAAUAUGGGUUUUGAAAGUUGAAUUUGUAAUAAUAAUAAUAAUAAGGAGUGAACUUUAGGAAAUUGAACUGCGAGAAUAUAGAUUUUUAAUAAUAAUAAUAAUAAAAAAAAAUAAACUUUAGGAAAUUAAAUUGCGAAGAUAUAGAUUUUUAUUAAUAAGUAUAAUAAUAAUGAUAAUAAUAAUAUUAGGAAAUUGAACUGAGCGAGAGUAUAGAUUUUUAAUAAUAAUGCUAAUAAUAAUGCUAAUAAUAAUAAUAAUAAUAAUAAUAAUAAUAAUAAUAACCAUAAUAAUGAUAAUAAUAACAAUGAGGUUUUGGAAUAAUAAUAAUAAUGAUAACAAGAUUUUGAAAGUUGAAUUAAUAAUAAUAAUAAGAAUAAUAUUUUAAAAGUUGAAUUAAGAAUAAUAAUAACAAUAAUAUUUUAAAAGUUGAAUUAAUAAUAAUAAUAAGAUUUUAAAAGUUGAAUUAAUAAUAAUAAUAAUAAUAAUAAUAAUAAUAAUAAUCAUAAUAAUAAUAAGAAUAAUAAGAUUUUUAAAUAAUAAUAAUAAUAAGGUUUUGAAAGUUGAAUUAAUAAUAAUAAUAAUAAUAAUAUUUUAAACGUCGGAUUAAUAAUAAUAAUAAUAAUAAGAUUUUAAAAGUUGAAUUAAUAAUAAUAAUAAUCAUAAUAAUAAUAAUAAUAAUAAUAAGAUUUUGAAAUAAUAAUAAUAAUAAUAAGGUUUUGAAAGUUGAAUUAAUAAUAAUAAUGAUAUUUUAAAAGUUGAAUUAAUAAUAAUAAUAAUAAUAAUAAUAAUAAUAAUAUUUUAAACGUCGGAUUAAUAAUAAUAAUAAUAAUAUGGACUUCAAAAAAAUGGGCCUUAAUAAUGAUAAUAAUAGGCCUUGGACCUCAAAAAAAGGGCCUUGGGAAUGAAUAGUACAGGGGGCAUGAGGCCCUUCAUUAACGCGACUAGGCUUGGGCUUCCCCACCAGGCCCAUAUCCAUCAUCUUGGACAGGCCCCAAGCUCUAACUCCAUCACAUGCUUGGAUUGGGCCCCAACUCAAGCCCAAAUUAAAAGCAAACCCAAGAACACCAAAUUCUCUCACAGCCCACAUCUCCAACCUCCGCCUGGGCAUCACCAUCUAAAUACUCUGUGUCCUCGAGCUCACCGUCAACCUCAUCGCCUUCUUCAUCGGAACCCCACAUCUCAUCAUCCUCUUUCAAGGUUCGCCGCCCACGCGCACUCACACGCGCUUGCUCUGGUUGCCGAAGCCAAGGGUUGAACCAGUCUUGGACAGCCGCAAUAACGUCAGUGCGCGGGCAUCUGCUCAGUUCUCAUGUUAGACGAAGGAGAUGGGCCUUCCGAUCAGGGUUGAGGAGAAAAAGGGAGGAAGCGAUCCUGCUCGUUGGAGCAAUGCGCCAGGUGACCAUGGAGAUCGGUGGAGAAGUUACUCCUAGCCUCUGAGACGAGCAAUGGAGGAGGAGAAGCUCCACUGCCGCCAUUGAUUCAGCUGACUGGGCAAGCUUGAGGAGGCGGGUAUGAAGGAUGGCGGCCAUACAUGGCUAUGCGUGGCCACGUGAGAACGAGAGGAAUGAGUGCAAUGGACAAGGAAAAUGGGUUUGGAUAAGUUUAGAGAUAUGAUAUGCAUGGGCUGCUAGAGAGGAAUAUGAUGGAUGAACAUGGAGUAUACUAUGGAUGGGAAGGUAGGGAUGACUAUGCGCAUGGAGCUCCAUGCACACGAGAAGACAGAGAAUCAAAGGGUUAGUAUAGAUAGCAUGGGAUCUCAGACUUCAAUGUCUUCAAUAUUGCGUUCUCUGCAUCACUCCAAACAUGACGCUGGCUUUCAGGAUGGAGGCAAACAGAGCAAAGGAAAAAAAAAGCAAAACCAAGCAUGGAUAAUCGAAACAAAUGGAACCCAUAACAGCCUCAUGUUGUGCAUUAAUCCCUGGGCUUAGAUGGAGGUGGGUGAAAAUAAAGGAUCAUCAAACAAAACCAGAGCAUGGUUGCAGAUAUAUUAUGGGGAAAAACAAAGACGAAAUCACCUUAAGCAAGAACCAUUAAGAAGGGAUAUAUGGAUAUGCUUACCCUCAACACACAAACAUCACCCAAGAAUGGACAGAGAAAGAGAAGAGAACCAUACCUGUGAGUGAUCUUCUCUAACAAGAUCGAGCCAAAAACUCAGCAAAGCAUCCCUCUUUUCCCUUGCUUAGCUUUCCACCAUUCUCUCCUUUUCUUCCUUUCACUAUCUCCCAUCUCUCCCUCUUGUCCCGUCUUUUCCUCUCUGGCCCCCCACUUACUCCUCCUGCCACAGCCCCAAAGAAAAGAUAUAUUUAUUAUUAUUUUUUCUUUGCUGGCAGCUUCUCCUCCGAGCUAUCUCUCGCCGCCACCAGCAGCUCGCCUCAUCCCAUCCCAUGGCCGCCCGUUUCCCAGGUGGUCAGUAUAUAUAUAUAUAUAUAAACAAUCAGAUGUCUCUCAUGGGGGGUCUACACAUACUUUUAUUCAUUCAUGUAUAGAGUAUAUAUGAAGGAUAAUCACCAUUCUAAGAAUGGGAAAGAAUGAUACAAGGAAGGAAUGAUAUAAGGAAAUAAUGAUACAAGGAAAGGAAUAAUAUAAGGAAAUAAUGAUACAAGGAAAGCAUUCCUAAUAUCUCAACACUCCCCUCUUAAGGAAAAAAUGAUACAAGGAAAGUAUUCCUAAUAUCUCAACACUCCCCCUCAAGUUGGUGCAUAGAUGUCACACAUGCCCAACUUGUUUAAAAAUUUUGAGAACACUUGUCUUGAGAUAGCUUUGGUGAGGAUAUCAGCCAAUUGAUCUUCUGAUUUAAUCUUAGGCAAUUCCACAAUCUUAUCAUCCAACUUCUCCUUAAUGAAGAAUCUAUCCACCUCGACAUGCUUUGUAUGAUCAUGUUGUACUGGAUUAUGUGCAAUGUCACAUGCAACAUUAUUGUCAGAAAACAAUCGGAUUGGUUGCCUAGAUAGGUAACCUAAAUCCUGUAAGAGGAGUCUUAGCCAUAAUGCCUCACAAAGUCCUAAAGCCAUACCCCUAAAUUCUGCUUCUGCACUUGAAUGAGCAACGACAUUAUGCUUCUUACUUUCCAUGUCACAAGAUUACCACCUACAAAGAUAAAGUAACCAGAUGUAGACCGCAUAGCAUCCACUGUACCGACCCAAUCAGCAUCAGUAUAUACUUCUAUACUCUGAUGAUCAACAUUUUUAGCGAACAAAAUUCCCUUCCCAAGAGCAUUCUUCAAAUACCUCAAAAUACAUAUGAUUGCAUUCAUAUGUUGUUCUCCAGGAUUAUGCAUGUAUUGACUCACUAUACUCAGUGCAUAAGCAAGAUCUGGUCUGGUAUGAGCUAAGUACAUUAAUCUCCUUACAAGUCUUUGGUAUCUUCCUUUAUCGGUUGAUACUUGAUUAGGCUCAACACACAAUUUCAGACCUUUUUCUAUUGGUGUAUCCAAGGAUAGAAAUAUCGGUAAAUACGGAUAUAUCGGUACUUGGAUUUUACGGAUAUAUCGGAAAUAUCGGUGGAUUUUUCAUCAAAUAUCGGUGAGACAAAAAUUAUCCAAAAUUGAUGGGAAUGCUUAGAAAAAUCCAAAGAAUGAUAAAAUAAGCAAGAAUAUACAUGUUAAAGUUAUUUUAUAACUGUAAUUGACAUAAAUAUGGUCAAAGAAAAAAAUAUCGGUAAAUAGUUUACGAUACUUGGAUUUUAAGAAUAGAAAAUAUGAAAUUUGGAAUUGUACACUUAGAAAGUUAGAAUUGAGUUAAGAAAUAUUUGAUUUUAUUAAAUGAAAACAAUUUACACAUAAACAUAAUACAUAUGACAUUGCAAUGGUCCUUAAUACCAAAAUGAAGAUCGAUGUGGUUCCAUCAUAUUGUUAUUGUUAGAUGAAGGGAGCCCAUCUUGUUGAAGACAAUAUUCAUACCAGGACAUGGAGUUUCGAUAGUAUUGAUUGUAUGUACGAACAUGCCAUGCAUAAAUUUCUUGAGUCUACCAACAACUUGUCCAUGGAUAGGAAAUCCAAGGUUUUCCCAUGUGCUCGUUUGAAAUCCUUGUUGUUGCAACUGAUGUGGAAGGUAGUAUGGCAUUUGUGUGGAAGAAGGAUAGUUAUACCUUUCAUACUCUUCAUCAGUGGAACUUGAAAGAUUUUGAGGAGGCUGACCAUAACUCAUUGCAUAAGGGGCAUAAAUGUUGGCUUCGUUUGAUGAAUCACUGAAUUGAGUCUCUACACUCAUCGACUCAAAACUGGCCGACAAUGAGUCCUCGUUGUACAACAUCAUCCUUCGUUGUCUUCCUCUAUAUGGCUUUCCAAUGGCUCCAACACCUGGACCGGCUCUUCUAGAGCCGUGGUCUUCAUCUUGAGUACAAUGUGUGAAAUCAUCUUCACAAGUAAAUGCCAAUGGUUGUCCACUUUGUUGUUGUUGUCUAACAUCCCCUUCAUCAUUUCCAAGGUCGCUACCAUCAUUGGUCCCCUCUUCUCUUGAACCAUCAUAACCGGAAGCGGAGGCGAAAGUACCAGUAGCACUAGGUCUACUACUAUGUUCAACACUCGUGGAGUCAAAAGAAGGUCGAGAAGUGACUGCCGGCUGAGAAAUUCCUUGUCAAAAUGAAUAUCUCGUGUCUUGGCUGAAACUAUCAGUAUGAACUUCUUCGGAUAACACUCAAUCAACAUCAACACCUGCUUCUCGGACAUGUGCGGCAAUUCGUGGGUCGGGAUUUCCAUCUUCAUCAUCUAAAUGAAGAGGUCUAACCCAUUGAAACAAUUGGUUAUCUUCUUCUUCACCAACCUCAGUUGCAAUGUCAAGUAAAUCGAGGUAAUCUUUCUCUGCAACUUUGUCAUGUUCUGCUUCCAUGUCACGUAUCUUUAGUUUCAUGUUAUAAUAAUAGAAAACUAAUUGUUGGAGCAUCGGGUAAGCAAGCCGAUUUCUUUGUUUUGUAUGAAUUAAGGCAAACGUGCUCCAAUUUCUCUCACAAGCUGAAGAUGAUGCAGUUUGCGAUAAAGCCUUGAUGGCCAACCUUCUUAAUGUAGGAGUGUGAUUUCCAUACAUGAACCACCAUUCAGCUACAACCAAAUAAAUGAUAUCAAUACUUAUAUUGGAAAGUUACAAUAAUAUGCUAAUGAAAUGAAUUAUUAAUUCACAAAUAAUACUCACCGGGAACCAUUUCUGACCUCGAAGCAAUCGCUGCUCGAUCACCGAAUCCUCUUUUUGCAUCUCGAAAUAGUAUAAUCUACAUAUUAAAUAAUUGAAAGUGAAAAAGUUGAGUAAAUGAAAUUCAAUUAUUUAAUUUAUAUUAUAACUCUAAUAAUUUACCUCAUUUCCAAAUUGACUAAGACCUUCUGAUGUAGGAUCUAAUUUCGCAAAGACUUCAUGAACAGCUUGAAGUAGAUCAGGAUCAGUACCAACUCCACGUUUAUAUUGAAAUCUUGGAUUAAGAAAGAAUGCUACAAUAGUAAAGUAGAAAUGUAAAAUUAGAAUGUUAUGAAAGAAACAUAUUAAAUACCUAUAAAUUUCAAAGAUGAAUAAUACUUACCUGCUGCAUGAAGAGGAUGUUUAAGAGUUCUAUCCCAACGAUCUGCAAUUAUUUCUAACACCCAUUCUUUAGCAUUAAGUCGAAUGAGGUUCUCUUUCAUAACUCGAAUCAAUUCAUACACAAAUGGCAUUGUAGGAACAACUUCUGAAUCGACAAUGCGAAGAACUGUGUAUAACGCCUCAUAUAUUGACACUCACUUUCCCACUCUUUCCCAGUACGCAUGGUCAAACAUAAGUGAUUCAACUUCUUUGCCGAUUAAUGUGCGACUUAAGUUGUGUUGUGCCCAUUCAUCACUGAUAAACACUUUCUUCAAGUUUGCUUUCUUUUUCAAAAGACUGUCGAGGGCUAUAUAAUUGGUUGCAAAUAUUGUUGCUCCAGGACGAACUAUGUCUCCACCACACACCUUCCGCAUCUGUGCAAGCAACCAACCAUGGUUAUAAAUGAAGUUGGUUAUCUUUCGAGCCUUUGUAAUCACAUCUGCAACACUCGUCCUUUUACCGAUGUCUUCGAACAUUAAGUCGAUGCAAUGUGCUGCACACGGAGUCCAAUAAAGAUUGUAUUUUUUCAUUAACAACUUCCCCGCCUUCACAAAUGCCGACCCAUUAUCUGUAACUAUUUGGACCACAUUUUGUUUGCCAACUUCCUUGAUUACAUCCUUCAACAAACCAUAUAUGUAUUUGUUGUCCUUUAUAUUAUUUGAUGCAUCAACAGAUUUGAGGAAGAUUGUGCUACCUUUUGAAUAUACCAUGAAAUUAAUUAUGCUUAAUUUCGUGGGUCCAGUCCAUCCGUCAGACAUAAUCGUGCAUCCAUAAGUCUUCCACUUUUCUCUUUGAAUAUUGACAUAAGCUUCCAUGUCUUUGUACUCCAUAUCCAAAUACUCGUGUUUGAUUUCAUAAGGAGGCGGUGGUUCUAUACCCAUACCUACCAUCCAUAUAUAAUUAAAACAUAUAAGAACAUUUGUGGCAAUCAUACUAUAUAAAUAGUAAUGAUAUUGUUAAAAUGAAUACAACUUUUAAAAUUAUAGUAAUUACCUGCUUGUUGUGCACCAAUAAUCAUGUUCUUGAAGUGGUGAGAGUCUGCUUUAUUGGGCGGAACACUCUCAUAUAUGAAGAACUUACUGAUCAAAAGUCCCAUGGUUUCCUUGAUGGCACCACAUUUGAAAAGAUUUUUCAUAGUUUUCUGUCUUGCCGCUGAAGAUUUGUACAAUGAGGGUGCAUCAGGCAGUGAUGGAUCUGAAUAUCGAACACUUUGCGAUUUUCGCAUUUGCCUUGUUGUUGGAUUGGUUGGAUGUGAAGACUCGCCUAUUAUAAUUAUUAAAAUUAAACAUAUAUGCUAAUUUAAUAUUAUUGAUAAAGUUGAUAAGAAAUAGUAAUAAUUCAAAUUAAUAUUAUACUUGUUUUUCUUUUGCUUUUUAUAAAAUGUUCUUCUUGUUGUCGAUUCCAUUCAGCAGCUUUUGAUGCUUGAACCGCCUCUCUAUAAGCAUGUCGCUCAUCAGGGUGCAUGUCAGCCGGAUACAUAUACACAUCAUCAUCUCCAUCAUCAUCAUCACCACCAAGGUUCUCCUCAUCGUCCUCAUCAAUUACAUGUCUAUGUCUUCUUCCCAUUGUGUCUCGCAGUUCUGAUCGAAUCUCUUCUAUAUCUGCAGCUUUCUUCGCUUUUGCCUUAUUUUUUUGCUCUAGAAGUCGUCUUAUUUCUUGUUUCACUUCUGGAGGCACGUUAAGACACUUUUUUGUAUUUGAAUUAGGGUCUGUAUGUGAUAGGUGAAAUUUAAAACAAGUAAUCCCACCACUCUUUAUUGCCAACCCACAGUAAUUGCAUAUUGUUCCAUUUUUGUUCCCUUCCAUAGGUGUACAAUAUUUCCAACAAGGAUCUCGACCCAUGAUACCACUUUCACUAGCCAUUUUCUAAAAUUGAAUUAUGAAACUAAUAUCAAAUUUAAAAUUAUUAAAGAUAAAACAUGUAUGAAAUUUAAUAUUCAUGAAAUUGAUAAGAACUAAUAAAAAUUGAAAUUAAAAUUGAAUUAUGCACAUAUGAAAUAGAUAAACAUUACAAUAAAAUUUCAAUAUGAAUUAAAUUUAAAUUAAAUUAAAUUUGCAUAUUCAUGAAAUUGAUAAGAAUCAUUACUAAUAAAAAUUAAAAUUAAAAUUGAAUUAUGCAUAUAUGAAAUAGAUAAACAUUACAAUAAAAUUUUGAUAAGAAUUAAAUUAAAUUAAAUUAAAUUAAAUUUGCAUAUUCAUGAAAUUGAUAAGAAUCAUUACUAAUAAAAAUUAAAAUUGAAUUAUGCAUAUAUGAAAUAGAUAAACAUUACAAUUACAUUUCCAUAUGAAUUAGAUAAUAUCAAUUAAACUAUAUAUAACAAAUAAAAUUGAAUUAUACAUAAUAAAAUAAAUUUUAUGGAAGGUAAGACAUACCUUAAUUAGCCUUGACUUGGAGUUAAUCCCCUUCACCACCAAAUUUUCAAAAUAAAAAAAUUUUGCUAGAUCAUAUAAGAAUUUUGAUGUAUGAAAUGGAAUGGAAUGUGGGUAUUUAUAGGAAUUUUUUGGUCAAACUAGCCAUUGGAUGGUCAAAUAGUCGUUAUAAAUUAAUUUUAACCGUUGGAUCAAAAUUUGGUUCAAAUUUCACCAUUAGAUUUUCAUAUAACCGUUGGAAACACUCCAUAGCCCUUGGAUAAAGUGAAGAUUGAUUUUCCACCAUUGGAUCACAAAUCUGACCGUUGGAGGCCUUUACAAAUACACGGGUGAAAUCUGGGCCAUCAGAUCCUCAAAAAUUCAAAAUUGGCCAUCAGAUCAAAAUCAUUGGAGCUGGGAAAAAUCGGCGAUUUUCUCGGUAAAAAAUCGGCGAUAUAUCGGUAAAAUCGUCGAUUAAUCGCUGAUUUUUUCAACUCCUCUGGCAGCUUCUCCGCGCGUGCCUCCACUCUUCGAUUUUUUGCCGAUUUAUCGGUGCUUCACCGAUAUUUCGCCAAUAUAUCGGCGAUUUUGCCAAUUUUUGGCCGAUUUUUCCAUCGAUCGAUAAUCGGUGACGAUUAUUGUUUCAGUGCCGCCCGAUAUCCGAUAUUUAUUCGAAAUAUCAACGAUAUAUCCCGAUUUUUCAAUCCCUGGGUGUAUCAACAAGUUGACAUCCCGACAUUCCAGUCUCCUAUAAAAGAUUUAAGGCAUACUUUCUUUGAGACAGAAAAAUUCAUUCACUUGAUUGAGAAACUUCAAUCCCAAGAAAGUAUUUCGGAGGACCUAGAUCUUUCAUUUCGAAUUCUCUAGAUAGAUAAUUCUGUAGAGCUUUUCUUUCUUCAGGAUCAUUUCCUGUAACUACCAUGUCAUCCACAUAUACGAUGAGUGUCGUAAUCUUACCAUGUUGCUUUUUCAGGAACAAAGUGUGAUUUGAAUUACUUUGAUGAUAGCUAAAAGCUCUCAUUGACUUUGUGAACCUUCCAAACCAUGCUCUCGGGGAUUGCUUCAACCCAUACAAUGAUUUCUUCAAUUUGCACACCUUCUGACAUUGCUUUUCUGACCCCAUGCAUCCUGAUGGAAGAUCCAUAUAUACUUCUUCAGAUAACUCGCCAUGUAGAAAGACAUUUUUUACAUCGAAUUGUUGUAAUGGUCAAUCCAGGUUUGCAGCUAAAAACAGUAAUACUCGAACUGUAUUGAUCUUAGCUACAGGUGCAAAUGUCUCUGUAUAGUCAAUUCCAUAAGUUUGAGUGUACCCUUUUGCUACCAAUCUUGCUUUAAAACGUUCAAUACUACCAUCUGCCUUGUACUUCACAGUAUAGAUCCAACAACACCCAACUGGCUUCUUUCCUGGUGGACAUUCUACGAGUUCCCAUGUUUCAUUCUUCUAUAAUGAUUUCAUAUCUUCAUUCAUGACUGCUUUCCACCUUGGAUUAGCUAAGGCUUCCUGCACACUGUUAGGAAUAGUUACAAUAGAUAAUUGAUUUACAAAUGACUUAUUUGAUUCAGACAAACAAUGGUUAGAUACAUAGUUGCUCAUGGGAUAUUUGACAUUGGUAGACAAUUUAGGUUCAUAUGUGGGUUUAGGAAUAUCUCUAUUAUGACGGUGUGGAAACCGUUUUGUGAAUGGAUUAGGUUCCAAAUUAAGAACACCCUCAACAGACGACGAUUGGUUUGGUAUUUCAGUGAAGGCAUCUUUAGACCCAAAUUGCUCGGAUGGUUCAAUUGUACUGUCUCUCCCCUCUUUUAUCACUUCUUCAGCUUCUGGGUGGUCAUUACUACCUGGUUCACCCGCUUCUUUAUUCACUAGUUUAGAUUGUCCAUAUUCAUCCUCCUUAGAGAUAUCAUAAUCGAGAGUCUGAAUUUCCUUAUAGUACUCCCCUUGAAGUUCAGACUCAAAUGAAAAAUACAUUGAAUCUUCAUGAAACACCACAUCCAUUGUAAUAAACAUUCGUCGAGUUGGAGGAUGAUAACAUCGAUAUCCCUUUUUGUGCAAUGCAUAUCCAACAAACACAUAUUGCAAUGCACGGGAAGUUAACUUGGUGCGUUGGUGUUUGUGUAGAUGCACAAAUGCCAUGCAACCAAAAACACGAGGAGGUAGAUUUGGGAUGGUUGGGGCAACUACAACAUUAGUAAGAGCUUGGAGAGGUGUUUGGAAGUCAAUUGAACUGGAAGGUACCCGAUUGAUCAAGUAUGUAGCAGAUAUGAUUGCUUCUCCCCAAUAAGAUAUCGACAUUUUUGCUGCUAUCAAGGAAGCAUGAACAACCUCUAACAAGUGCCGAUUUUUUCGUUCAACGACUCCAUUUUUCUGGGGUGUAUUGGAACAAGUAGUCUGAUGAAUGAUGUCAUGUCCUUCCAAAUACUUUUGAAGAUCAGAAUUAUGAUAUUCUCCACCAUAUCGCUACGCAGAACCCGAACCUUUGCAUUGUAUUGAGUUUCAAUCAUUUUAUGAAAAUUUUGAAACAACAAGUUCACUUCAUCUUUGGUCUUCAUCAAGCAUAACCAGGUCAUUCUGGUACAAUCAUCAAUAAAAGUAACAAACCAACGCGAGCCUCUCAAAGUUGGGACUUUGGAUGGGCCCCAAACAUCAUAAUGUAUAACCAUAAAAGGAAGCGGACUUUUAUUCAAAAUUAACGGAAACGAAGUACGAUGACUUUUAGCCAAUUCAAAAAUAUCUCAACGAAAACCAGAAAUAUCACUCAUUGCAAACAAAUUAGGAAACAAUUUUUUAAAAUAGCCAAAGGAAGCAUGUCCCAAGCGUCGAUGGCACAACCAAAUUUCAGACUUUUUCUCCUCCCCCUCAAAUCCAUCUAUCAUCAAGGCUUGUCGUAAUUUAUUGGAAUCCUUUGACUGCAAGUCCAAGUAAUAGAGUUUUUCCACUUAAUACCACAACCAAUCGUCUGUCUUGUUUGGAUGUCCUUAAAAACACAAAAUUCAGGCCAAAAAAUGACAAUACAAGAUAAUGCUGCAGUGAUUUGAGAAAUUGACAAAAAAUUGUAAUCUAAAGAUGGAACAACUAAAAUAGAAUCCAAAUUCAAAGUAUCAGUAAGAGUUAAGGAUCCUUCCCCAAUGACUGGGGUUGUGUUACCAUUGGCUGUGGAAAUAAUUUUUUGUGAGGAAGGUAUAAGGGGUGAGACCUGUCUAGAAUCAAAAGUCAUAUGAUCUGUAGCACCAGAAUUAAUUAUCCAUGCACUAUUAAUAACAGGUGUAGAAGUAUUCAAAAACUUACCAUCAUAAUCUAUAUUGGCUACCAAUGCAGAGACAUUCUCAGUAACAUUAGCCUCUGUUUUUAUUUCGGCAAUAGCUGCAGUCGAGGUUUUCUUGGAAUUCUUCUUCCGUUGAUCACGAUUAUGAUCCCACCAGUCUGGAUAUCCCACAAUUUCAAAGCAACAACUCUUGGUAUGACCAGUCUUAUUGCAGUGAGUGCAUUUGAAGGUUGACUUAUCAAUAUUAGGGCCCGUCUUAGGAUGGUUGGUCUUGGAUUGGUCCUGCCAAUUCUGGGUUGAUCGCUGUCGGACUACCAUAGAUGAGGUGUCAGGAUUGUCAUAUUAUGUUUUCAUACUAGCAUGACGCACUGCCUCUCGUCGAAUCAGUGCAUAGCAUUCUUCCAAAUUGGGAAGAAGAUCUUUGCGUAGAAUCUCUCCUCGAACUUGCUCAAAGUCACCAUCCAAUCCAGCAAGAAAGAUGUGCACCCAUUGUUGUUCAAUGGAUUUCCGAUAUGUUGUAAUGUCAUCAGGGUCUUUCAUGACCACCUUAUCCCGAUGAUCCAAUUCGCAAAAAAUCUCAGUUAACUCUCCGUAAUAUUCAGAAAGAGACCUGCCGCUUUGUUUGGAAGUGAAUACUUUUUUUAUUCAAAGUGAAAACUUGUAAUUCAUCGCUUCCAUCAUAGAAGACAUUUGAUAAUGCACUCCAAAUUUCUUGAGCGGUGGGUAAGCGUAAGUAACACUUCAUAAUUUCUUGACUCAUGGACAUUAACAACCAUUUCUUCACCUUUUGAUUCUCAGCAUACCAUUUUUCAUAUCUAUCUUCUGACUCUUUUGGUGGAUUUGUUUUACCUCGAAUGUAGGAAAGUUUUUCCCGUUCAACAAUAUGCAUCUUCAUAAGUUGUGACCAAACGUCAUAGUUUGAUUCAAUCAAAAUAAUUCCUAGAUUAAAAGUACCUUCAGAUUGAAAAAUAAUAGUAUUUUUUUCACUUUUUUUUUUUUUUUGAUGAUUAAAUAUAAUAUAUAUUCAACUGGUGAUGUAGGAAGAAAGUGACAAAAAAUAGGGGACCCUAAAUAGAAAGAAAGAUUUUUCAAGAAAAUCAAAUAAUAGAGAAAAAAAUAGUAGAAGACACUGAAAGUACAAAUAAGCAUGCCAGGUUGUAGGACAAUGUCAGUUUUCCGGCAACUGUCCAAGAUUUCAGUUCCAUGGCUUUGAUACCAUCUUCAAAUUAAUGAAUGAGGUUUUUUUUUUUCUCAUUCAUAUUUUUAUUCAUUCAUGUACAGAGUAUAUAUAAAGGGUAAUCAUCAUUCUAAGAAUGGGAAAAAAUGAUACAAGGAAUGAAUGAUAUAAGGAAACAAUGAUACAAGGAAAGGAAUGACAUAAGGAAAGAAUGAUACAAGGAAAGUAUUCCUAAUAUCUCAACAACUGGUAUAUCACUUUUGACGAUAAAAGGAAUUUUAGUUAAAAGUGAGGUUAAUUGCUCUAUUGUAAUGAUAUGAUAUAAAAUGUCUCUUUGAUGGAAAAAAUUGAAAAUUGAGUUCAUAGAAUUUAGUCUGAAAAUUAUUGAAAAAUGUCUCAAAUUCUUAAUUAAUAAAAAUUUAUUUUUACACAGAAUAUUAUAUAAAAUAUUUUCUAAAUUAAUACAUCAUUGUAAUAUUAUAUUAUUUUAUAGAAUAAACAAAGUUAUUAGAAAUAUCUUAAUAAAUAUUUUAGGUUAAGAAAAGAAAAAGUUAAUAAGAUAAAUAUGAGCUUUUAGAGACUACACAUUGUUUUAUCUUAGUAUCGGAAGGCCAGGUUGCGGAGAAGUUGAACAUGGAUAAAGCAUAUGGGCUGGCCUUACAAUGAGCCGCCCCACUAAUGGUGCACCCACAGCCGAGGCUGUCACCCCAAGGUUUCGGGAAGUAAAUGAGGUUGUUUUCCCAUGAUUAAAACAGAAAACUUGAUGAUGGAUUUGGCUGAAUAAUUAUGACGUUGGAGAGCGAUGGAGUGUAGUAGUUUCGUGAUGGGUUUUCCCUCAGCCACGUGGACGUUAAUAUUGUAAACGUUGACUCUGAAGGAGCUAUCUAAUAAUGCAAUAUGUCGGAUUAAAAAUUAAAUUAUUUACCCCACAAUAUGAAUGUCGAGCGUAGGAGAAGAAAGUCAUAUGAUGAAUAUGAAGGCAUCACAAUCUAAAGAGUCGUGCAAUGCGGCGAGUGAAUAUGACCAAUAAAAGCACGAAAACUGAACGGGAGUCGCUUCAUCUGUCCUGCAUUCAUUUACAUUCUUUGCCCCAUUGGUUAAGAAUCCGUCCUGUUCUAGGAAAAUUUUUCCCAUCAUUUCGAAUGUCUUCCCAUUUAAAUAUGAAAUUUUGAAUGGUCGUGUAUGAUUUUUUUCUUACUAGCCAUUAUUUUGAGAAUAAUACAAGUUUGACCAACACAACUAUGUCUUUUUUCCUCAUAAUAAAUUUCCAAUCUUGAUUCAUUAUAAUUUUUUAAUGAAAUAAUUCAAAAAAACUACAUACAAGUUGUUAUACAUCUUGCUCAUGUGUGUAAAAGGAAAGAGAUACAUCCUUGUUUUUCAACUAUUAAAAUGAUAUCCUUGGGCCAAUUCUUUCAUUACGUCUGAAUAUUUUGGGAGAAUUGUGGAACCAUUUUGAGACAGUGAAUUUAAAUAGCAUUUUUAAUAUUUUAAAAAAUUAUUAUUAAAAACGUUUUUUAAUAUCCAUUUUUUCAACAUCAGGACCAAGAACGCAAAAUAAAAUAUAAUUUUCCCUACUUGCUACCAAAGAUUUUGGUUGAUUAUUUUUCUGAUAAUAAAUAAUAUUUUAUUUUGCGUUCUUGGUCAAAAAAUGGAUAUUAAAAUAUAUAUAAUUUUUCAGCUACAACAGCGCGCACGGAGCACGCUCUUAGUUAGAACACACUUGUACCCGUCAUCUUUGAUUUAGCUAACCCCGAAUCUCCCUUUAUAUUCCUCUCUGGAUUCAGGAGCCGAGACUCAGAGAUAAGCCAAGAAGCCAUGAAUCCCCUGGCGCUGAUUUUCUGCACGGCUCUCUUCUGCAUUCUCCUCUACCACUUCCUCACGCGCCGCUCUGUCCGCCUCCCUCCGGGGCCCAAGCCAUGGCCGAUUGUGGGGAACCUCCCUCACCUGGGCCCCGUCCCUCACCACUCCAUUGCUGCGCUCGCUAAAACCUACGGCCCUCUCAUGCAUCUCCGUAUGGGCUUCGUCGACGUCGUGGUGGCCGCCUCCGCCUCCGUUGCCGCUCAGUUCUUGAAAACUCAUGAUGCUAAUUUCUCCAACAGGCCUCCUAAUUCAGGUGCCAAGCAUAUCGCCUACAACUAUCAGGAUCUGGUGUUCGCUCCCUACGGCCCCCGGUGGCGCAUGCUCCGCAAGAUUUGCUCCGUCCACCUCUUCUCUGGCCAAGCCUUGGAUGAUUUUCGCCAUAUCCGACAGGUACCUAGCUUAAUCUCUCUCAGAAAUGAAUCCUUUCUCAAUUUUAAUCCAUUUUUCGUUUUUUCUUCCUGAUCGCUUCUAUUAUUUCAUCGCAAAUUAAGAUCUGGUUACACAGAUUUCAUUUUUCCAUAAAAACAUGUAAGAAAAUAAUAGCAUGUGUUCACCAUCAUUGUCUAGUCCUGUCAGAGUAUUUGCAGUCUCCACUCUCUCUGUAUACACUACACAUCUUUUUGAAGAAGGCCCGGCUCCACAAGUUUAUUAUUACUAUUUUUUUAAUGAUUUUUUUUAGUAAGGUUGUUUUCCUCCGGCAGUGGAAGUCCGUGCAUUCACGCGAGACUUUACCAUUUAAUAUUUAAAAUUAUAUUUUUUUAAUGUUUGUUUUAUAAAAAUACUGAACUGACAAAUGAGUUGCCGCUGAGUUUUAUCCAAUUUUGAUGAUUAGAAAAAUAAUCAGUAGAUGAAAAUUUAUGUGACGUACAGGAGGAGGUUUUGGCGCUAAUGCGCGCACUUGCGAGGGCGGGUCAAACGCCGGUGAAGUUGGGGCAGCUGCUGAACGUGUGCACUACCAACGCCCUAGGGCGGGUGAUGUUAGGCAGGAGAGUGUUCGGCGACGGCAGCGGAGGCGAAGAUCCGAAGGCCGACGAGUUCAAAGAGAUGGUGGUGGAGCUGAUGGUCCUGGCCGGAGUUUUCAACAUCGGCGACUUUGUGCCGGCGCUGGAAUGGCUGGACCUGCAGGGCGUAGCUUCCAAGAUGAAGAAGCUCCAUGCUCGGUUUGACGCUUUCCUGGGCGCCAUCGUGGAGGAGCACAAGAUCAGCGGCUCUGCUGGUUCCGAGCGUCACGUGGACUUACUCAGCACGUUGAUCUCGCUGAAGGAUAAUGCCGACGGUGAGGGAGGCAAGCUCACCGACGUUGAGAUCAAAGCCUUGCUCUUGGUAUCUCUCAUUAUCCAUUUUCUGUCACUGUUUCGUCUACUUCUUGUGGUAAUUUGGCACCUGAAAUUGAUGAAAACCGUCUGUUGACAUGGCAGAACUUGUUCACAGCUGGAACUGACACCUCAUCCAGCACAGUGGAGUGGGCCAUUGCAGAGCUCAUUCGCCACCCUGAAAUGAUGGCCCAAGCCCAACAAGAGCUGGACGCAGUGGUGGGCCGAGGCAGGCUUGUAACUGAUUUGGACCUGCCCAAACUUACCUAUCUCCAAGCCAUAGUCAAGGAAACCUUCCGCCUGCACCCAUCCACGCCCCUCUCCCUCCCUCGGAUGGCGGCGGAGAGCUGUGAGAUCAACGGCUACCACAUCCCCAAAAACGCCACUCUUCUAGUGAACGUGUGGGCCAUAGCGCGGGACCCAGAGGUGUGGGAGGAGCCACUAGAAUUCAGGCCCAACAGGUUCCUCCCAGGAGGGGAAAGACCAAAUGCGGACGUGAGAGGGAAUGAUUUUGAAGUGAUUCCAUUCGGGGCUGGCCGGAGAAUAUGCGCGGGGAUGAGCUUGGGACUGAGGAUGGUGCACCUGUUAACCGCGACGCUUGUUCAUGCGUUCAACUGGGAGUUGCCGGAAGGCCAGGUGGCGGAGAAGCUGAACAUGGAUGAGGCAUAUGGGCUGACCCUACAACGAGCCGCCCCACUCAUGGUGCACCCACGGCCAAGGCUGUCACCCCAAGUUUUCGGGAAGUAAAUGAGGUUGUUUGCCCAUAAUUAAAGUAGAAGACUUGGUGAUGGAUUUGGCUGAAUAAUUAU